UACGCACGCUGGCGGCGUGCUUAACACAUGCAAGUCGAACGGAAAGGCCCUGCUUUUGUGGGGUGCUCGAGUGGCGAACGGGUGAGUAACACGUGAGUAACCUGCCCUUGACUUUGGGAUAACUUCAGGAAACUGGGGCUAAUACCGGAUAGGAGCUCCUGCUGCAUGGUGGGGGUUGGAAAGUUUCGGCGGUUGGGGAUGGACUCGCGGCCUAUCAGCUUGUUGGUGGGGUAGUGGCUUACCAAGGCUUUGACGGGUAGCCGGCCUGAGAGGGUGACCGGCCACAUUGGGACUGAGAUGCGGCACAGACUCCUACGGGAGGCAGCAGUGGGGUAUAUUGCAUUAUGGGCUGAAGCCUGAUGCAGCAACGCCGCGUGCGGUAUGACGGCCUUCGGUUUGUAAACCGCUUUCGCCUGUGACGAAGCGUGAGUGACGGUAAUGGGUAAAGAAGCACCGGCUAACUACGUG
This 468-nucleotide ribosomal RNA is filed under the name uncultured bacterium. Its description in RNAcentral is "partial 16S ribosomal RNA". It matches the Rfam family "Bacterial small subunit ribosomal RNA", at positions 29 to 507 of the family's 1533-position model. The record is from RNAcentral.